This 497-nucleotide ribosomal RNA is filed under the name uncultured bacterium. RNAcentral's name for it is "partial 16S ribosomal RNA". It matches the Rfam family "Bacterial small subunit ribosomal RNA", at positions 28 to 507 of the family's 1533-position model. The record is from RNAcentral.
GAUGAACGCUGGCGGCGUGCCUAAUACAUGCAAGUCGAGCGAACAGACGAGGAGCUUGCUCCUCUCACGUUAGCGGCGGACGGGUGAGUAACACGUGGAUAACCUACCUAUCAGACUGGGAUAACUUCGGGACACCGGAGCUUAUACCGGAUAAUAUAUUGAACCGCAUUGUUCAAUAGUGAAAUACGGUUUUUCUGUCACUUCUAGAUGGAUCCGCGCCGCAUUAGCUAGUUGGUAAGGUAACGGCCUACCAAGGCAACGAUGCGUAGCCGACCUGAGAGGGGGAUCGGCCACACUGGAACUGAGACAGGGUCCAGACUACUGAGGGAGGCAGCAGUAGGGAACGGUACGCAGUGGGCGAGAGCCUGACGGAGCAACGGCGCGUGAGUGAUGAAGGUCUUCGGAGCGGAAAGCUCGGUUACGAGGGAAGAACAAAUGUGUAAGUAACUAUGGACGGCUUGACGGUAACUAAUCAGAAAGCCGCGGCUAACUACGUG